Molecule: long non-coding RNA, 352 nt
Filed under: Lathyrus oleraceus (garden pea)
Lineage: Eukaryota; Viridiplantae; Streptophyta; Magnoliopsida; Fabales; Fabaceae
Description: Pisum sativum (pea) long non-coding RNA (PSAT_LNC006540)
Source: RNAcentral
GAAGAUCAGGGCGAUGUAGUUCCCCUACGCAGGAAAAGAUGAACAAACAAACUAAAAGGGAGACUAGAGCUCGAGCCUAAUAGUUGUCACACCCACAAGAAGAGACGCUGAGACGUCGAAAGGAACACAAAAGGUUGAAAGGAUGAACUAAAAGGGAGACUAGAGCUCGAGCCUAAUAGUUGCCAAACACGCACAAAAAAAAAAAAAAAAAAAAGGCGCCCGGAGAGAUCAGCUCAAUCUCCUGCCUACAUACUUCAUCUGGUGUGAAGAUCAGGGCGAUGUAGUUCCCCUACGGAGGGAUAAAGGACUAGCCUAACCAGAUAACAGAGGGAGACACAACUAGGGAGACUAC